Molecule: RNA transcript, 1204 nt
Organism: Colias croceus (clouded yellow)
Lineage: Eukaryota; Metazoa; Arthropoda; Insecta; Lepidoptera; Pieridae
Gene: Roe1
Gene name: grpE protein homolog, mitochondrial
Exons: 7
Source: RefSeq, a predicted model, not a curated record
AAUUCCGAAUUCCGAUAUAACCUAUUACGUGCCGUUUAAUUUUUCGUAAUUUAGAAAUAAUUAUAUUAUGGCGUCGCUAAAAGUGUAUUCAGUGGGUAGAUUAGCGAAAUGCAUAACAGAUUCUACGUUAAGAAAUUUACGAACGACUUAUUACAGGAGUUCAGUCCGCUGCUAUGGCACAGAAGAGAAGCCAGUGGAGAAGGAGGCACCAGUUGACAAGGACGGCAAGCAGCUACCAAGCUCAGUGGAGGAAUGUCACAAACAGAUUGAAGCGUUGAGCUCCGAGUUGAAGACCUUGAAGGACCAGGCAAAGGACUAUGAAGAUAAAUAUAAGAGAGCACUUGCCGACGGUGAGAACGUGCGGCGUCGGAUGAUGAAGCAAGUUGAGGACGCCAAGUCGUUCGCUAUUCAGAGCUUCUGUAAAGAUCUGCUUGAUGUAGCGGACACGUUGUCGGUGGCCGCGGAGAGCGUGCCGGCGGAGGGCGGGGGCAGCGGGGCGGAGGGCGGCGCCGCGCUGCGCUCGCUCGCCGACGGGCUGCGGCUCACGCGCGCGCAGCUGCAGCAGGUGUUCGCGAGACACGGUCUGGUGGCGGUGUCGCCGCUCCGGGAGAAAUUCGACCCCAACCUGCACGAAGCUUUAUUCCAACAGGAAGUAGAAGGUGCGGAACCCGGCACAGUAGUGACAGUUAGCAAAGUGGGCUACAAGUUACACGAGCGCUGUGUUCGGCCCGCACUAGUCGGCGUGGCCAAGUGAGGGGUCCCUCAGGGCUCUGCGCUGGGACCGGUGCUGUUCCUUAGCUAUAGCGAUGGAAAAACAGCAGACACGCGACGAAAAAACACGAUUUUAUAUCUAUAACGCUCCGGGAUUUAGAUUAUGUAAGAUUUGAAGUUAAAGAAGGUAUUUUAACGGCUGUAAGAGGAAAAAUGUUUUAAUAUUUUCUUUAAUUUUAAAGUUGUAAUAAUGUUAUAUGUUUAUAGGGCCUUAAGUUUUCUAUACUUCAUAGUACAUUCGGUGUGUUUGGUUUUAGUUGCUCAUGCAUUUUUCAAAACCCAUAUGGUCUUACCACAAAACAAUUUAAACACAGUCUAACUUUAAACCAGGGAUCUGUCACUUUAAUAGUUGUCUAUGUGAAAUACGAUAAAACCAUAUUAAAGAGAACUCGCGCUUAAAGAUAAACCCUGUCUAAAGUUUUUUGUGGUAAAA